GACGAACGCUGGCGGCGUGCUUAACACAUGCAAGUCGAACGGAAAGGCCCUGCUUUUGUGGUGUGCUCGAGUGGCGAACGGGUGAGUAACACGUGAGUAACCUGCCCUUGUCUUUGGGAUAACUUCAGGAAACUGGGGCUAAUACCGGAUAGGAGCUCCUGCUGCAUGGUGGGGGUUGGAAAGUUUCGGCGGUUGGGGAUGGACUCGCGGCUUAUCAGCUUGCUGGUGGGGUAGUGGUUUACCAAGGCUUUGACGGGUAGCCGGCCUGAGAGGGUGACCGGCCACCUGGGGACUGCGAUACGGCCCAGACUCCUACGGGAGGCAGCAGUGGGGAAUAUUACACAAUGGGCGGACGCCUGAUGCAGCAACGCCGCGUUCGGGAUGACGGCCUGCGGGUUGUAAACCGCUUUCGCCUGUGACGAAGCGUGAGUGACGGUAAUGGGUAAAGAAGCACCGGCUAACUACGUG
Molecule: ribosomal RNA, 468 nt
Filed under: uncultured bacterium
Lineage: Bacteria
Description: partial 16S ribosomal RNA
Rfam family: Bacterial small subunit ribosomal RNA
Source: RNAcentral